GACGAACGCUGGCGGCGUGCUUAACACAUGCAAGUCGAACGAAGAGCGAUGGAAGCUUGCUUCUAUCAAUCUUAGUGGCGAACGGGUGAGUAACGCGUAAUCAACCUGCCCUUCAGAGGGGGACAACAGUUGGAAACGACUGCUAAUACCGCAUACGAUCUGACCUCGGCAUCGAGGAUAGAUGAAAGGUGGCCUCUAUUUAUAAGCUAUCACUGAAGGAGGGGAUUGCGUCUGAUUAGCUAGUUGGAGGGGUAACGGCCCACCAAGGCGAUGAUCAGUAGCCGGUCUGAGAGGAUGAACGGCCACAUUGGGACUGAGACACGGCCCAGACGCCUACGGGAGGCAGCAGUGGGGAAUCUUCCGCGAUGGACGAAAGUCUGACGGAGCAACGCCGCGUGAGUGAUGACGGCCUUCGGGUUGUAAAGCUCUGUUAAUCGGGACGAAAGGCCUUCUUGCGAAUAGUUAGAAGGAUUGACGGUACCGGAAUAGAAAGCCACGGCUAACUACGUG
Molecule: ribosomal RNA, 510 nt
Filed under: uncultured bacterium
Lineage: Bacteria
Description: partial 16S ribosomal RNA
Rfam family: Bacterial small subunit ribosomal RNA
Source: RNAcentral